This is a long non-coding RNA of Engraulis encrasicolus (European anchovy), 384 nucleotides long. RefSeq lists it as uncharacterized. Lineage: Eukaryota; Metazoa; Chordata; Actinopteri; Clupeiformes; Engraulidae. The transcript is spliced from 3 exons. The record is from RefSeq and is a predicted model, not a curated record.
AUGCCAUACGAGACUCGGGAGACUUCGAUGAAAUCACCGUGAGAGAGGCAGGAGCAUAUGCAAGGAUCCUGGAAGACCCAGACUUCAGGUUCUUCCUGCAACUUUUUCACCAGAUCAUGCCCCUUGUAGACACUCUCUAUGCCAGGCUACAGAAGAGGAGCAUCGACUCAGUGUACAUUAAGAGAUGCAUCCAAAGAUUCCAGGAGGACAUACAGAAGAUCAGAGAUUCUCUCCAUGCCAUGACAGUGGAGCACAGCAGUCUAUCCCUGCAAUCAAGAAAACGUGUGGCUCUCUCUUCAGAGGAUCACCAACGAAUUGCAGCUGAAGUCUGUGAUACCAUCCUGGGGCACACCAGAGAGAGGUUCCAGUUCACAGACCAUCUCA